CCACAAAGUUUAACGGCCGCGGUAUCCUGACCGUGCGAAGGUAGCGUAAUCAUUUGUCUUUUAAAUAGAGACCUGUAUGAAUGGCAUAACGAGGGUUUAACUGUCUCCUUCCCCUAGUCAAUGAAAUUGAUCUGCCCGUGCAGAAGCGGACAUAAACACAUAAGACGAGAAGACCCUAUGGAGCUUUAGACAAAAGAUCAAACAUGUAAAGAAACCAAACCAACCAAAAGGAACACGAAGGCCACAAAACCCAACGUAAACUGAUCUAAAUGUCUUCGGUUGGGGCGAC
Molecule: ribosomal RNA, 289 nt
Filed under: Anguilla anguilla (European eel)
Lineage: Eukaryota; Metazoa; Chordata; Actinopteri; Anguilliformes; Anguillidae
Description: partial large subunit ribosomal RNA
Rfam family: Archaeal large subunit ribosomal RNA
Source: RNAcentral